AUGUGAUGAUGGAUGUGAUCUUUCAGACCAUGGAGUUGCACCAAAUAUGAUGUUUGAUGUGAUCUUUCAGACCAUGGAGUUGCAUCAAAUGUGUGAUGAUGGAUGUGAUCUUGCAGACCAUGGAGUUGCAUCAAAUGUGAUGAUGGAUGUGAUCUUUCAGAUCAUGGAGUUGCACCAAAUAUGAUGAUGACUGUGUAUGUGUUGGAAUGAGGCAUGAUGGAGCAAUUGGACCGAGGAGUUGCAUCAAAUAUGAUGAUGGAUGUGAUCUUUCAGACCAUGGAGUUGCACCAAAUAUGAUGAUGGAUAGAUGUCAGAAAGUGGACUGUGACAGAGUAAUGAAGAACUUGACAUGCAUGGUGGAAGUUGAUCGAGACUAUCAAUUCUUCGAGAGGUCCAGCGACUUUAUACUCGCAAGAAGGAUAUGGUAUGGAAUAGCUUUCUACACUUCUGGGCUGGCAGAUUUGUAAGAUUGGAAGUUGUUUCAGUGUGGAGAGAGAUGAACACUUUGUAUGGUCAGGUAAAAUUUGCUUUUGAAGUCACAAGUAAGUCUUGAUAAAGGCAUUGCCAUUUCUAGUUGUUUAGCUAACUAUGUACUGGAAAGUUGGUGGUUCUACUCUUAAAAGGUGUCUGUCUUUGUCCCAAGUAAGUCUCAAUAAUGCCAUUUCCAUUUCUUGUUUUCUAACUAGCUAUGUAUUGGAAAGUUGGUGGUUCUACUCUUAAAAGGUGUCUGUCUUUAUCCCAAGUAAGUCUCAAUAAAGCCAUUUCCAUUUCUUGUUUUCUAACUAGCUAUGUAUUGGAAAGUUGGUGGUUCUACUCUUAAAGAUUGUCUGUCUUUGUCCCAAGUAAGUCUCAAUAAAGCCAUUUCCAUUUAUUGUUUUCUAACUAGCUAUGUAUUGGAAAGUUGGUGGUUCUACUCUUAAAAGGUGUCUGUCUUUGUCUGAAACAAUGUCAUUAAGGCACAUUUUCCUCCACCUUUAAAGCUGGACAGUCACCAAAAUAGAACAUAGUAUUGUAUCUGUUUAAUAGAAAAAUUGCUUAGGUUACAUUGUUACUUCUUGAGAUUGCAAUGUUGUUCUGUUAACCCCAGUGACAUUUCAGUGAACCCUUGCAACAUGUUGGCUGGAUUUAUGUCGGAAUGUGUGUGGCUGUGUGACAUUGGUGAAGAGAUUUUUAUGACAUUGGUGAAGUGUGAUUGUGCUGGAAAGUGACAUGUAGGAGCAUUGGUAAAUUAUCUAUUUUGAAUUUGUGUAAGUCACAGGACAGCUGUUGUGCAACAGGUAUGGAGGCUCAAUUUUUCAAUAGCUUAGUAAUAAAUCAGUUACACAUUCAGUAGAUUGGAAUUGUCUUUUGUAGAUUUAAAGUCUAUAACGAUGUAGACUGGAAUAUUGGUUGCUAUACUCUGUCUGGUUCCAGCCCUUGCCUGAAACAAUGUACAUUUGGGGAAUUUUUCCUACCAAUAAAGGUGGCCGGCAAGUCGCCAUAUGACUUGAAAACCAACUUAACAAUUGCUACUUCUUUAGCUAAGAGUUUGUUUAAAAUAUGGUCAAUGUUAACAUUUUGAGAUUGGAAUGUUGUUUUGUUAACCAAAUAUCUUUUCAGUAAACACUUAGAUCAUGGAGUCUGAAUUGCUUGAGUGGCCUCAAAUGUGAUGAUGGAUAGAUGUCUGAAAAUGGAUGGUAAAAGCACACUUGUGACAGAGUAAUGAAGAACUUGACAUGCAUGGUGGAAGUUGAUCGAGACUAUCAAUUCUUCGAGAGGUCCAGCGACUAUAUACUCGCAAGAAGGAUAUGGUAUGGAAUAGCUUUCUACACCUCUGGGCUGGCAGAUUUGUAAGAUUGGAAGUUGUUUCAGUGUGGAGAGAGAUGAACACUUUGUAUGGUCAGGUAAAAUUUGCUUUUGAAGUCACAAGUAAGUCUCAAUAAAGGCAUUUCCAUUUCUAGUUUUCUAACUAGCUAUGUAUUGGAAAGUUGGUGGUUCUACUCUUAAAAGGUGUCUGUCUUUGUCCCAAGUAAGUCUCAAUAAAGCCAUUUCCAUUUCUUGAUUUCUAACUAGCUAUGUAUUGGAAAGUUGGUGGUUCUACUCUUAAAAGGUGUCUGUCUUUGUCCGAAACAAUGUCAUUAAGGCACAUUUUCCUCUACCUUUAAAGCUUGACAGUCACCAAAAUAGAACAUAGAAUUGUAUCUGUUUAAUAGAAAAAUUGCUUAGGUUACAUUGUUACUUUUUGAGAUUGCAAUGUUGUUCUGUUAACCCCAGUGACAUUUCAGUGAACCCUUGCAACAUGUUGGCUGGAUUUAUGUCGGAAUGUGUGUGGCUGUGUGACAUUGGUGAAGUGAUUUUUAUGACAUUGGUGAAGUGUGAUUGUGCUGGAAAGUGACAUGAUGGAGCAUUGGUAAAUUAUCUAUUUUGAAUUUGUGUAAGUCAUAGGACAGCUGGAGUGCAACAUGUAUGGAGGCAUGUAGACUGGAAUAUUGGUUGCUAUAAUCUGUUUGGUACCAGCCCUUGCCUGAAACAAUGAACAUUUGGGGCAUUUUUCCUACCAAUAAAGGAGGCCGGCCAGUCGCCAUAUGACUUGACAACCAACUAAACAAUUGUUUCUAGUUUAGCUAAGGGUUUGUUUAAGAUAUGGUCAAUGUUAACAUUUUGAGAUUGGAAUGUUGUUUUGUUAACCCAGUGACUUUUCAGUAAACCUAUAGACCAUGGAGUCUGAAUGGCUUAAGUGGCAUUAAAUGUGAUGAUGGAUAGAUGUCAGGAAAUGGAUGGUAAAAG
This is a long non-coding RNA of Ruditapes philippinarum (Manila clam), 2766 nucleotides long. RefSeq lists it as uncharacterized. The transcript has 2 exons. The record is from RefSeq and is a predicted model, not a curated record. NCBI's taxonomy places the organism in Eukaryota, Metazoa, Mollusca, Bivalvia, Venerida, Veneridae.